This 253-nucleotide ribosomal RNA is filed under the name uncultured bacterium. Its description in RNAcentral is "partial 16S ribosomal RNA". It matches the Rfam family "Bacterial small subunit ribosomal RNA", at positions 524 to 776 of the family's 1533-position model. The record is from RNAcentral.
UACGAAGGGGGCUAGCGUUGUUCGGAAUUACUGGGCGUAAAGCGCACGUAGGCGGAUACUUAAGUCAGGGGUGAAAUCCCGGGGCUCAACCCCGGAACUGCCUUUGAUACUGGGUAUCUCGAGUCCGGAAGAGGUGAGUGGAAUUCCGGGUGUAGAGGUGAAAUUCGUAGAUAUUCGGAGGAACACCAGUGGCGAAGGCGGCUCACUGGUCCGGUACUGACGCUGAGGUGCGAAAGCGUGGGGAGCAAACAGG